This 238-nucleotide ribosomal RNA is filed under the name uncultured bacterium. RNAcentral describes it as "partial 16S ribosomal RNA". It matches the Rfam family "Bacterial small subunit ribosomal RNA", at positions 96 to 334 of the family's 1533-position model. The record is from RNAcentral.
UGGCGGACGGGUGAGUAACGCGUGGGUAACCUGCCUCACACUGGGGGACAACAGUUAGAAAUGACUGCUAAUACCGCAUAAGCGCACAGGACCGCAUGGUCCGGUGUGAAAAACUCCGGUGGUGUGAGAUGGACCCGCGUUUGAUUAGCUAGUUGGUGGGGUAACGGCCUACCAAGGCGACGAUCAGUAGCCGACCUGAGAGGGUGACCGGCCACAUUGGGACUGAGACACGGCCCAA